CUCCUGGCGCCACAAGGGGAAAGCUGGCAUAAAAGGUCACGUGGUGCUGUGCCGCCUUGCCUGUGUCUUCUUAGCGCCAGCUCGGGCGGGUCCCAGGCGGUGCCCCGGGGCCAGCCCUCGUAGUGCUAAGGGCUGCUGACGCUGCCCCAUCGACUAGCUGGGACCCCCAGGACUCCUGGGUUCAAUCACCAGCGCUGCCCCGAUUGGCUGGGACCUUGGACAGGUCUCUUAGUGUUGCGAUGCCGCAGUUUGCAGAAGUGGGGUGUCGGCGCGGUCCCAUGUCUGCCAGCGUGCCCGUGGCCGCGGUGGGAGGCAGGGUCAGCCCUUGCUGCGCUGGUGGGGACUUGCCAGGGCCUUGUCUGAAUUCAUCCCGCUGGCUCUGUCUGCAGCGCUCAGCACUUCUGAUCACAAAAUGCCCCUCCCGCCUCCAGCAAGCUACAGGAGGGAACGAUGUGUAAAAGUUCUCUUGAUGCCAAAUGGAGAUCUGCACCAGGAUGAAAGAUAGCUGGCAAAUGCUGAAGCCAAGCAAGACUAAAGCUGUGCAAGUAGGUAGAAGGAAACACUUUAAAAGAACUUGCCUCCUCUGCCGUGCCCCCAACAACUUCAGGAGAAACUCUUCGACCUCAUCCCCACGAACCACCCCACGGACAUUCUACAUACUUCCCAAGGUACACAAACAAGGGAAUCCAGGCAGACCCAAUGUAUUUGGCCACAGCACUCUUAUUGAAGACUGUCAGGACUUGUAGACACUAUCCUCAAACUAGUCACCAUACAAAGCACCAGUUUCUUCCAGGACACAACUGACUACCUCUAGAAACUCCACAACAUUAACAGUCUCCCUCAGAACACCAUCCUUGCCACCAUGGAUGUCACCUCCCUAUGCACCAUCUCUUAUAAUGACAGAAUAAGUGCCUGCCUUAAAUAGCUAAAAGACAAUGGACAAUAUUCAGAUAUCCAUCCCAAACACAUCGCCAAACUCAUCCAUUUCAUCCUCACCCAUAAGAAUUUUAUGUUCAACAACAAACACUUUGUCCAAUCCGUGGGAACAGCUGGCUGUAGUAGGAUAGCUCCCCAAUAUUCCAGCCUCUUCAUAGGACACCUUGAAGAAGAAUUUCUGGACAAGUGUACCAUGAAACCAAAGAUAUAAAUGUGCUACAUCAAUAAUAUUUUCAUCCUCUGGACAGAUGACCUAAACUCCCUCAGAUUUCCACCACAACUUCAACAACCACAACCCAUCCAUCAAACUCUCCCUCUCCCACACUAGCAUCAACUUCCUGGACAUCAUGAUCAGCUUCAACAAUGGAAUCCUACUGACAUCAAAACCAAGAAACCAAUGGAUUUCCAUGCUCAUCUUCACAGAUUUAGGAACUACCCAGACACACCAACUGUGCAACUUGCCACCAUUCAGUGCACUCUUUGUUGUGAAGUUUUGGCAUUGCAUAGUGGGGCAGAAACAGCUCACACAGGGGUGACUGGGAGCAAGGGGUCAACUUCUUGUAAUGCAAUGAUAUCCUAUCCCAUAAUAUCUCUAUAAUUUUGGUGUCUCUUUUCAAUUUCCCAUAAACCCACACAGGACUUGUUGGUGUCUGCAAUCUGUGAUAGAAACAUGGAGCCUGCACAGCUCUGCACUAUUGUCAUGAACAUUGUAAGCACAGGACACAUGAUCCUCUGGUAUUGGCAGAGCCGCAGGGAACAUGACAAUUUCCUGCUGGUCAAUUUGCUAUGGGAUGUAGUGAGAACUAAUUCAAGGUUGUUGUUGCUGUUCAUGGAGCAGGAUGGAGUGCUGCUUCUGGCUGAGAUACAAGCACUGCCUGGUGAAAUUGUAUUGUAAUGCAGGUUUGGAUGUGCAAGGCCACAUUCCUGGAUCUGUCUGCCGUGCUUGCCCCAGCCAUCCAACGCAGGUAUACCAAACUGAGAGCUGCACUGACAGCGGAGAAGCAAGUGGCAAUCACACUGGAAACUUGCAAUGCCGGAUUGGUACAGCUCAGUGGGAGGUCAUUCUGGAGUGGGACAAUCCACUCUGGGCUCUGCUGUCAUGCAAGUGUGCAGGGCUCUUAAUUGUCUCCUGCUAUGCAGGACUAUGACUCUCUGCAAUGUGCAGGACAUAGUGGAUGACUUUGCAGCUAUGGGUUCUCAAACUGCAGUGGGGCAAUAGAAAGCAUGCACAUCCCUAUUUUGGCCCCAGAGCAUAUCAACAGAAAAGGGUACUUUUUCAUGAUUGUACAAGAGCUGAUGGACCACCACCACUGAUAUCAGUGGGGGCUGGUCAGGGAAGAUGCAUGAUGCCCUCAUUUUUAAGAACACAGGACUCUUCAGAAAGCUACAAGCAAGGAACUUCUUUCCCAACCAGCGGAUCAUCACUGGUAAUGUUGAAAUACCAAUAAUGAUCCUGGGGGGAUCCAGCCUACUCUUUACUCCCCUGGCUCAUGAAGCCGUACGCCAGCCACCUUGACAGCAGCAAGGAAAGAUUCAACUAUAGGCUCAGGUGCAGAAUGACAGUUGAAUAUGCUUUUUGGUUGACUGAAAGGUUGCUGGCAUUGUUUACUCACCAGAUGGGGUCUCAGUGCAAAAAAUAUCCCAAGGAGAAAACUUGCUGAAGAGUUGGAGGUGGGACGGCUGUGUGCUGAGUUUGAACAGCCAGACACAAGGGCUAUCAGAUUAGCUCAGUGAGGAGUGAUAUGGCUUAGGGAUGCUUUGAAAGAGCACUAUAAUAGCAAGCCACAAUAACCAGGUGCUCAGCCUGGUGCCGCAGUUUGAGGAUCUGUUAGGAAUCUUGUGGUGCUUUCUGCAUAUCUAUACAUGUAUCACUGGCAGUGCUCCUAUUACAUUGGGGUGCUUCCUGUACAUUUUAUGAUGACUACACUGUUUGGCACUGAUCUUAUGGGUUGUGAGUGUACAAGGCCACUGCGUUCACUGCCAGCAGGCAUUAUACACCAUGUGUUGUCAUCUAAUAAAGGUGAACAACUUUUUAAAACAAAA
This is a long non-coding RNA of Chrysemys picta bellii (western painted turtle), 2979 nucleotides long. RefSeq lists it as uncharacterized. The record is from RefSeq and is a predicted model, not a curated record. NCBI's taxonomy places the organism in Eukaryota, Metazoa, Chordata, Testudines, Emydidae.